ACACUCCUACGGGAGGCAGCAGUGGGGAAUUUUGGACAAUGGGCGAAAGCCUGAUCCAGCAAUGCCGCGUGAGUGAAGAAGGCCUUCGGGUUGUAAAGCUCUUUUGUCAGGGAAGAAACGGUGAGAGCUAAUAUCUUUUGCUAAUGACGGUACCUGAAGAAUAAGCACCGGCUAACUACGUGCCAGCAGCCGCGGUAAUGCGUAGGGUGCAAGCGUUAAUCGGAAUUACUGGGCGUAAAGCGUGCGCAGGCGGUUUUGUAAGUCUGAUGUGAAAUCCCCGGGCUCAACCUGGGAAUUGCAUUGGAGACUGCAAGGCUAGAAUCUGGCAGAGGGGGGUAGAAUUCCACGUGUAGCAGUGAAAUGCGUAGAUAUGUGGAGGAACACCGAUGGCGAAGGCAGCCCGCUGGGUCAAGAUUGACGCUCAUGCACGAAAGCGUGGGGAGCAAACAGGAUUAGAAACCCUAGUAGUCC
Molecule: ribosomal RNA, 471 nt
Filed under: uncultured organism
Description: partial 16S ribosomal RNA
Rfam family: Bacterial small subunit ribosomal RNA
Source: RNAcentral